RNAcentral lists this ribosomal RNA (591 nucleotides) under uncultured bacterium. RNAcentral describes it as "bacterial SSU rRNA". It matches the Rfam family "Bacterial small subunit ribosomal RNA", at positions 790 to 1369 of the family's 1533-position model. The record is from RNAcentral.
GUAGUCCUAGCUGUAAACGGUGCACAUUUGCUGUAAAAGGAUUCGACCCCUUUUGUGGCGAAGCUAACGCGAUAAAUGUGCCGCCUGGGAAGUACGGUCGCAAGAUUAAAACUCAAAGAAAUUGACGGGGGCCUGCACAAGCGGUGGAGUAUGUGGCUUAAUUCGAUGCAACGCGAAGAACCUUACCUGGCCUUGACAUGCAAGUGGUAGGAGCCUGAAAGGGCAACGACCCCGCAAGGGGAGCUUGCACAGGUGCUGCAUGGCUGUCGUCAGCUCGUGUCGUGAGAUGUUGGGUUAAGUCCCGCAACGAGCGCAACCCUUGUGUCCUGUUGCCACCCGAACGAGAGUUCGGAGCACUCUGGACAGACUGCCUCGCUUAAACGAGGAGGAAGGUGGGGAUGACGUCAAGUCAGUAUGGCCCUUACGGCCAGGGCUGCACACGUACUACAAUGCCCGAUGCAAAGGGAAGCAAGACCGCAAGGUGGAGCAAAUCUCAAAAAAUCGGGCCCAGUUCAGAUUGUCGUCUGCAACUCGACGACAUGAAGCCGGAAUCGCUAGUAAUGGCGCAUCAGCUACGGCGCCCGUGAAAAA